UGCCGGGUAGACGAAUAGGCAAAGUCCCCUGUCUCUGAAACAGGAGUUAUGCAGGUUCAAGCCCUGCCCCGGCAGCUA
RNAcentral lists this transfer RNA (78 nucleotides) under Cyanobacteria bacterium UBA11371. Its description in RNAcentral is "tRNA-Gln". It matches the Rfam family "tRNA". From Rfam's summary of the family: Transfer RNA (tRNA) molecules are approximately 80 nucleotides in length. Their secondary structure includes four short double-helical elements and three loops (D, anti-codon, and T loops). RNAcentral also lists the same sequence under 2 other names. Lineage: Bacteria; Bacillati; Cyanobacteriota. The record is from RNAcentral.